Molecule: long non-coding RNA, 787 nt
Filed under: Homo sapiens (human)
Lineage: Eukaryota; Metazoa; Chordata; Mammalia; Primates; Hominidae
Description: HSALNT0355392
Source: RNAcentral
UCCUCUCCGUGGUGUCAGGGCCCAGCACUCACCAAAGAGCCACCCCCAUCGCCUCCCUGUCCUUUUAUGGGAGCGUCUGAUGCCCAAAAUAGGGCUGUGAUCCCUGCCACAGACACCCGUGGGUCCAAGCGGGAGAUGCCGAAGGCGUGUGUGCAGUGCUGGGGUGUCAUAAUGCCCCUUCCAACAGCACCUGCCUCGCCCCGACCUGGUUGGGCUCAGCUGGCAGCCCCCCACGCCUGUGACGCGUGGCCAUAAACAUGGGUGAACCAAGGUGCUGCUGUCUCUGGAAUCAGGAUUUCUGAAACCACCUUCGGCAGGGCCACGGAGCAGCGUCUAGCUCUCUGAUGGUCCCAGGUCACUGCUGGACCCUGGGUCUCACACUUGACUGUGACCCCCCCCCCAACCCCAGUCCCCAGCAGCAGGGGCUUCCCCGACUGAACCACGGAUGCCCGGCUCGGGGAUUGGAGAAGGCUUCACGGGUCUCUGCUGAGUCAAAUCCAACUUAAAAAGUGCCUGUGUGGAUGGGCUUGCGGGCCUGCUGCAUCUUUCGGCUAUCCUGAGUGCUGCUGCUGGGAAUGUGCGCCCGGGUGUUUAUGAGCCCCUCACAUCGUUUAUCGGGCCCAAGAGUGGAGUUGCUGGGUCACAGGUGGUUCUGUGUUUAACUAUUUGAGGAACUGCCAGGCUGUUUCCACAGAGGCUGCACCAUUUACAUCUCCACCUUCGACAAGGGAAGUCCGACAGGGAAGGCCCAGUGUGAGCCGUGAUGAGCCAUCCAUACUCCUGGAGC